Molecule: ribosomal RNA, 399 nt
Filed under: uncultured bacterium
Lineage: Bacteria
Description: bacterial SSU rRNA
Rfam family: Bacterial small subunit ribosomal RNA
Source: RNAcentral
GACGAACGCUGGCGGCGUGCUUAACACAUGCAAGUCGAGCGGUAAGGCCCUUCGGGGUACACGAGCGGCGAACGGGUGAGUAACACGUGGGUGACCUGCCUUUAGCUCUGGGAUAAGCCUGGGAAACUGGGUCUAAUACCGGAUAUGACCUCAUGACGCAUGUUGUGGGGUGGAAAGCCUUGUGCGGCUAGAGAUGGGCCCGCGGCCUAUCAGCUUGUUGGUGGGGUGANGGCCUACCAAGGCGACGACGGGUAGCCGGCCUGAGAGGGCGACCGGCCACACUGGGACUGAGACACGGCCCAGACUCCUACGGGAGGCAGCAGUGGGGAAUCUUGCGCAAUGGGCGAAAGCCUGACGCAGCGACGCCGCGUGAGGGAUGACGGCCUCGGUUGUAACCGU